Molecule: long non-coding RNA, 285 nt
Organism: Rhipicephalus sanguineus (brown dog tick)
Lineage: Eukaryota; Metazoa; Arthropoda; Arachnida; Ixodida; Ixodidae
Exons: 3
Source: RefSeq, a predicted model, not a curated record
UCUUAUUAGAAAUGGCACUUUCAGAACUGAAGUCACUGGUCUGACCACUGCGGCCGGAGUUUGUUCAGUAGAAAAAUUCGCUGUUGGAGAAGACCUUCCACCAACGUUCAGCGGACGUGUAACAGUAGCGCACGAAAUUGGGCACUUGCUUGGUUGCGUUCAUGAUGGCUGUCCGAAAGCAGCGAACUGUUCUCAUAAGUACGGUAAUCUCAUGUCUACUAUCUACACGGACAUUCAAAAUAAGUCGAAGCUUUCAGAAUGCUGCAAAAGUAGUAUACGAGAUUU